CAUCAGACAUAUCGUGAUGUCGUCUCCGGCUCCCCUCGCCUGGCUGCUGCUAGUCCUCUGGAUCCAGGCCUCCAAGGGGUCCAUUUCCCUGAUUCAGACUCCACAAGCCCUGUCGGUGUCUCCAGGAGCCAGAGUCUCUAUCCACUGCCAGACCAGUUCGAGCCUUCAUUUCUCAGAGCUGGGGAUGACGCACUAUGAGCUCUUAGCCUGGUACCACCACAAACCUGGGCAGCCUCCCAGGCUCCUCAUCUAUGACGCUGAGACCCGGGAAACAGGAAUCGCAGACAGGUUCAGUGGCCAAGAGACUGAGCACGGCUUCUCCCUCAUCAUCAGUGAGGUGGAAGCAGAUGAUGAGGGAGUUUAUUACUGCCAGCAGUACAAAGACACCCCCACACAGUGA
Alligator mississippiensis (American alligator) is the source of this 400-nucleotide non-coding RNA. Lineage: Eukaryota; Metazoa; Chordata; Crocodylia; Alligatoridae. The record is from the annotation of a RefSeq genome assembly.